RNAcentral lists this ribosomal RNA (500 nucleotides) under uncultured bacterium. Its description in RNAcentral is "bacterial SSU rRNA". It matches the Rfam family "Bacterial small subunit ribosomal RNA", at positions 103 to 604 of the family's 1533-position model. The record is from RNAcentral.
CGGGUGAGUAACACGUGAAUUACAUGCCCUGUAGAGGGGGAUAGCCCGCCGAAAGGCGGAUUAAUACCCCAUGGUAUCGCAAGAUUAAAGGGGGCUUCGGCUCCCGCUACAGGAUUGGUUCGCGCCCUAUCAGCUUGUUGGCGAGGUAACGGCUCACCAAGGCAAUGACGGGUAACUGGUCUGAGAGGACGAUCAGUCACACUGGAACUGAGACACGGUCCAGACACCUACGGGUGGCAGCAGUCGAGAAUAAUUCACAAUGGGGGCAACCCUGAUGGUGCAACGCCGCGUGGAGGAUGACGGUCUUAGGAUUGUAAACUCCUGUCAUCUGGGAGAAAGACCUGGUCGUUAAUAGCGAACAGGGUUGAUAGUACCAGAAGAGGAAGGGACGGCUAACUUCGUGCCAGCAGCCGCGGUAAUACGAAGGUCCCGAGCGUUGUUCGGAAUCACUGGGCGUAAAGGGAGCGUAGGCGGCGCGGUAAGUCGGAUGUGAAAUCCCG